Molecule: long non-coding RNA, 629 nt
Organism: Spodoptera frugiperda (fall armyworm)
Lineage: Eukaryota; Metazoa; Arthropoda; Insecta; Lepidoptera; Noctuidae
Exons: 2
Source: RefSeq, a predicted model, not a curated record
GUGCAAAAUAUGUCGAGUCAGUGAUGUGUUUAUUUUGUAAACAAUAAAUCAAAUACAUAAUAAUAGUCUAUAAUCCGAAGACUUAAUCAGCAACAUUUUAUAACAUGUUGUAUUUUAUAGUGGCAUGAGCAAGAUGUUCUUGGUAAAGCCUACUACCUAAAGCUGCCGUGGAAGGCUGUUUAAUGUCGAGGUUAAAAGUAGUUUUAAUUUGAAAUGAUGUAAAGUAUUGUGGCAGUAUUUUGCGAGCCACAUGGUGGUACAAUUUGUAUACAUAUUUAUAUUCUUGCAGAUUCAGGGAUUCAAAUAUAUCAUCAAACAGGUUCCUUAUUGCCAGUGCCUGUUGAAGACUAUACAUUUUUGCAAAUAUAUUUUAUGGACAAUUCAGCAAGAGAAGUCGAUCAGCGUUGCGCACACAACAACUCAGUAAAGAGAUCCAUUGUGAUGAACAACUUCAAACAUUUUUCCUUCAACACAAUGAAUUAGUUGCAUUAGACCGAUGCAUUAGACAUUCACAAAUGCAUUAGACCGCAUGCCAUCAGAUAAUCACAAAAUUGUCAUCAGAGCCGAUAAGGCGCCUGCAGGACAGUGAAAUGAUUGAAUCCUAUGAAAUAAACACUAUUAUGAAAAUA